This 638-nucleotide ribosomal RNA is filed under the name uncultured bacterium. RNAcentral describes it as "bacterial SSU rRNA". It matches the Rfam family "Bacterial small subunit ribosomal RNA", at positions 80 to 717 of the family's 1533-position model. The record is from RNAcentral.
UCAAUUGCCGGCGACCGGCGCACGGGUGAGUAACGCGUAUCCAACCUUCCGUACACUCAGGGAUAGCCUUUCGAAAGAAAGAUUAAUACCUGAUGGUAUGAUGAGAUUGCAUGAUAGCAUCAUUAAAGAUUUAUCGGUGUACGAUGGGGAUGCGUUCCAUUAGGUAGUAGGCGGGGUAACGGCCCACCUAGCCAACGAUGGAUAGGGGUUCUGAGAGGAAGGUCCCCCACAUUGGAACUGAGACACGGUCCAAACUCCUACGGGAGGCAGCAGUGAGGAAUAUUGGUCAAUGGACGAGAGUCUGAACCAGCCUAGUAGCGUGAAGGAUGAAGGUCCUACGGAUUGUAAACUUCUUUUAUAAGGGAAUAAACCCUCCCACGUGUGGGAGCUUGUAUGUACCUUAUGAAUAAGCAUCGGCUAACUCCGUGCCAGCAGCCGCGGUAAUACGGAGGAUGCGAGCGUUAUCCGGAUUUAUUGGGUUUAAAGGGGGCGCAGACGGGUCGUUAAGUCAGCUGUGAAAGUUUGGGGCUCAACCUUAAAAUUGCAGUUGAUACUGGCGUCCUUGAGUGCGGUUGAGGUGUGCGGAAUUCGUGGUGUAGCGGUGAAAUGCUUAGAUAUCACGAAGAACUCCGAUUGCG